UAGCUCAGUAAGUUGAGCGUGGUGCUAACAACUCCAAGGUCGUGGGUUCCAUUCCCGU
RNAcentral lists this transfer RNA (58 nucleotides) under Apaloderma vittatum (bar-tailed trogon). It matches the Rfam family "tRNA", at positions 8 to 63 of the family's 71-position model. From Rfam's summary of the family: Transfer RNA (tRNA) molecules are approximately 80 nucleotides in length. Their secondary structure includes four short double-helical elements and three loops (D, anti-codon, and T loops). The record is from Rfam by way of RNAcentral. Lineage: Eukaryota; Metazoa; Chordata; Aves; Trogoniformes; Trogonidae.